UUACUAAUCGGUUAAAAAAGUAUUGCGUCAUCUCUCUUCCCCUUGAAUGAAACAAGGGACAUUCUCUGUUCGUUUCUUACUAUUCGCUUGGAAUUAGGGCUUUUAGUGACAGAGCUAAAAUAGAAAUUCUGAUUGGAAGUAUGUUACUCAGUGAAUUGAGUUUUGUUGGAGGGAGGGAUCAACAUCUCCUCCCAGUCCCAUCCAUUAAGAGGAGGGAAUGCACACAGCCAAAUUGUUCAGUAAUGAAACAUGUGAAUACUCUUCUCAAGUGAUCAACGAAGGCGGGAGUGAGUGCUAUCCAAAUGUACGAGAAACUUGAAACAGGAGCUGUGCCGCUUGAAUCAAAAUCCAUUCCAUAUAUGGUAACAAAGAACCAAAGUUGACAGAGACCUUGGUGAAUCUAUUACCAGCCCCCAUAAAAACUCUACAAAUGCACAAACCAGGGUGAAGCUAUCGGUUGCCUUUCAAGUUCAGCGAGAGCCACUCCGUCAUUAUCAAAAAAGCCCAAGUAAUAGAAAUAUGCUUCUUCUCAUAGUAGCCAUUAAAUUAAACCAAGUACACCUGAACAACCGACCACAGCCAGAUGAAAAUAAUCGUACAGACAUCGUAUAAGCAACUCAAGUAAGUCGGCUACCCAAUUCCUGAUAUUUAUUUGUAAUAUUUUAACUUGUAAACUAGUAUCACGUCAUUAUUUCAUUUUAGUCUACAAGGAAUUAAUGUUGUCAACUUAUCAUAACUAAGAUGCUUAUUUACUAGACUUUUUUUCAGUUUUAA
Molecule: long non-coding RNA, 774 nt
Organism: Glycine soja
Lineage: Eukaryota; Viridiplantae; Streptophyta; Magnoliopsida; Fabales; Fabaceae
Exons: 3
Source: RefSeq, a predicted model, not a curated record